CACAAACUGGCAGAAAUAAUGCACACGAUUUAAGCUCGUUUUAUAAGACUAUAUUCUUGUUUGUGU
This 66-nucleotide transfer RNA is filed under the name Mytilus edulis (blue mussel). Its description in RNAcentral is "tRNA-Leu". The record is from RNAcentral. Lineage: Eukaryota; Metazoa; Mollusca; Bivalvia; Mytilida; Mytilidae. RNAcentral also lists the same sequence under 1 other name.